GCACAUUUCUGGUUCUGUAUCUGCUUAAACGGACAUUGGAUAAUUCAUUAAUGCCCUGACUCCUAAAAAAUAAUCGGAAUUGAUGGGUAGAUUUCUGAAAACAAAUGAAAAGCAAUCGAAAGAUGUUACAUCAUUUAUGGAUCAAUAAAGCCCUUCCCAGUAAGAAUUGGAUUAGUAUCUCCUCAACUAAUCUAAGAAUCAACAUAAUCAGACACAUUUUAUUUACCCAAAUCUCUGGCAAUUCACAUUCCACCUCACAAUGGAAAAAUCAUUAAAACCCUAUUUUCUGUUGAAAUAAAUCUUGACAUGCUGCUCCAUGAAGCUCAACAUAGUAAAAAAAUAAAAAAUAUAUAGAGCAUCGAUAUCAAGUUGUGUUGCAGAUAGCAGCUUUCAAAAAUUAAAAGAACCCGAGAGAUUGCCCAUGCCACAUUGACGAGAAAUUGAAAUUGGGUAAAGAACCAGAGAGAUUACGCAAUCCACACCACAAUCUCCUUCACUAGUUCCAAUUCCUAUUAUCGCGGAUCCUUCCAUUCAUAAUAAAAUGAAACACAAAAAUGCUGGAAAGAAAAAUCAAAGGAAAACCUUCAGAUUUCGACAAAAAAAUUUGGACCAUUUCUCGAUUUGUGCGUGUCAUCCUUGCGCAGGGGCCAUGCUAAUCUUCUCUGUAUCGUUCCAAUUUUAUCGGAUGUCCCCAAAGGGACGACCCUCUCUGCCUUGGCUGGGUAUAUGAACUGUUAAAAACUCUUGUAUUUCGUCAAUGUGGGACUUAACUUGUUCAGGUUUACACUAUUAAUAUGGCUUAUGCUUAAUUCCAAGUUUGGGCUGGGCCUUAGAGAUGCGGUCUGAUAAUUUUUCGUUGACUUUAAUUUGCUUCCUCCGCGUUUGCCAAAUUGUCU
This 896-nucleotide small nuclear RNA is filed under the name Olea europaea subsp. europaea. Lineage: Eukaryota; Viridiplantae; Streptophyta; Magnoliopsida; Lamiales; Oleaceae. The record is from RNAcentral.